Amphiprion ocellaris (clown anemonefish) is the source of this 2972-nucleotide long non-coding RNA. Lineage: Eukaryota; Metazoa; Chordata; Actinopteri; Pomacentridae. The record is from Ensembl.
GGAGCCAAACGACAACAAGAUUCUCAGAGGGCGGAGCCAGAGAGCAGUGAUUGGACAGACCAUAGUUUAUAUAGCAGACAGCGCGCUAGCGUAUCUAGUCUAUGUAUAUAUAUGGUUGGCACGUCUGGUAGCAUCUCUGGCUGCUGUUGAUCUUGUUUUUGGAGUAAAACACGGUGGAAGCUGAAUUAGUGAGGAUGACUCCUGCUCCUGUCAUCUCUAAGCUCCUCACACAUCUUUACCUGCACAUGAGGAAAAUCACUCCUGUAGAAUGCAGAUGUUCAGAGGGAGAUGAUGCCACAUCUGGUCCAGCUGAUGGAAGGUCUUGAAGUUCUCUGACUGGCCUCGACUGAAGAUGGUCGUCUCACUGGAUUUAAGGUUCAGAUGCUCAGUAACAAACUCCACCAAUGUGCCAACAGGGAAGCUUUAGGUUUAUUAAAUGUUGCUAUGAAGGUAUCGCUGUUUUUCUUUGUGAAUGCAAUGUGCUCCAACUGAAAGUUGAAUUAGAACUUAGAAGUAAAUCCUUCCAUCUGAAAGGAUUUAAUUGCAUUAAUAACCUCAUAACAUUCUAAUUUUUAUUCCAGUCUUGGCUGGAAAUAGAAUCUCUGUAUUGAUUCAGUUAAAAACUGAACUUCACAGCAUGUUGAAGCAAAACAACCAGAUGAAAACUGUGAUGGUGUUGGAUUGUCAGACCGUAAUGUUGCAGCUCAAAGCAGCUUUUCUAUCUCAGUUCAUUCUGACAUUCAGCUAUGAAUCAACACAGCAGAUGGUGAUCCAUGCUGUGGAAGUCUCACAUCUCCUGAUUUAAUGGAGCUGCUUUGCACUUUUUACACUGUUUAUUCACCAACACUUUAUUUAAUAAAAGUCCCAUCUAGUUUUUAUGAGGAAUGUGAUGUUUUAAUUUCUCUGUGAAUAACUGCAGUCUAAUGUAACAGCUGGAGUUGUAACAUCUGUCCUGAUAUUGAUCAUGAAGUAUUGAUCAGAAUACUGAUGGUCAGCAGUCAUCCCUGAAGUUUUACAUUAAAAUCUUUACUUGUGUUGUGAACUUUGGUAAGAAGCAGAAACUUUUGCGUUGCCAUGGAUACAUGAGUGUUAAGUUCUGUCCAUGUUUCCAUUUUGGGAAAUGCAGUCCAGUUCCAGAAUGUGGAGGAAUUUAGUCUCACAAUCACAGACAAUAAAUAUUAUCUGAAAGUCGGGUUAUUGUUGUUUAUCAGCACAAUACAAAAAGAUUAAUGUUAGAAAUAUUCCAGUUAAGACUCUAGAAUAUCAUGAUUUAUGUAAAUUUACCUCAAUAAUAUGAAUCUUCAGGUUAAGAUUGUACAGUGAUAUUUAUUAUGUAAGUUUAGCUGAUUAAAGUUUAUGACUCUGCACUAAAAUAUUAUUUAAAUUGUCAUUAUUAUAAUAUUUAGGGUCAGACCCUACAGUAUUGAGAUUAAGAAAUCAAAUAUUCUAUAAAAUGUAAAUACACUGAACUCAUUUGGAUCUAUUUAAGUGAGACUCUACAGUAUUAUUUGACACAAAUCUAUCUAAAUCAAAAUUUUAAUCAUUUUCAUGCCAAACAUUUACUGGACUGAUUUAAAUAUUAAAAUCACUCCUUUCUAAUCCUCUGCUGUACGUUCAAACCUGAGGCCUUAAAUAGAAACACACAAGUAUCUGAUUGAAGGAACUUCUGCAGAGUCCUGGUUCCAGAACAUGAUGAUAGAAUUAUAGACAAACUUUAACAAAAGCUGCCUCAGAGUUUACAGAUUUUUAUGUUGGAUUUCUUCAGUAAUUUAAUGAGCGUUAUCAGCAAUAAUCAAGUGUUCAUUUGAUGAACUUCAUUUCCUAAAACAUCCAGAAUUGGAGCUCAUAUCUUUGGCAGCUGUAAAGUUUCUGCUCCUUCAAAGUUCACAACACAAUGAAUGAAUUCCUAAAACACUCAAUGCUGGAGAGCGUUUGUGAUGCUGAAGCAGUGAUCAGUUUUUCUGUUUCUUCUCUGGAGAAGCACAAUGAGGGACGUCUGCAGAGACUGAGAAAGAGUCUCGCCACAUCCUUACAUGAGGAAAAAGACUUUACUGAAGACUACAAUGAGGAAAACUAUCAGACAGCAGACAGCUGCAUUCAAGGUGAGCUCUGAACAUUUGAUCUGGAACAGGAAUUCAAUAACAGCAGCAUGAGCUUCGUUUCAGUCUGUAGCUGCUGAAUUCAUGGAUGAAUCAUCUGGCACUAGAGAAGAAAACCAUCAAGCAUCCAUGUCAGCUGAUGGAGGUCCAAGAGUCUCACCAAACAAACAACCUACAGAGUGAAGACCUCAAAUUUGAUUGGAUGGCCUCCUAUUCAGCCACAUGUGUGAACAAAUGCCUCUAAGCUGAUUUGUUUUCUGAAAUAAAUCUAGUUUGAGUCCUAGUCUAUGCCUGUGUGUUUGCUUCUUUACAUCGCUGUUAACAGUUUAGGCUGUUAGAUUGUUCCAGAUAAGACAAAUACAAGAUUCUUCAGAGCCGUUCUACCACGAGCCUGACAGGAAGAACUGCAACAGCUACUGAAUGUUCCUGUGGUCCCCUCAAGGCUACAGGAGGAGUCCUACGAGGACGAGCCGGUCCACCUGAUGGCGGCCAGUCGCUGCGGUUCAAAGCCAACACCGACUACGUGGACUUCUACUGGACCACACGGAGGUCUUCAAACCGGACCAACAAGUUCAGCGACUCCCCGACUCGUGGGUCUGAGGACGCCGCCGAGCCUCAGCCCAGCCGGCCUCCUGUCUGUGGGUGUUUGAGUGCUGAGAGGAUUACCACAGACCUGACCGUGAACACCGUUGACACCCACCCAAGGGAGACGCUGCCUAAGAUCUCAAGGCUGCUUGGUCGUGGUCUUUCUGGUCCUGCUCCAGAACGCCUUCAUCAACUACGUCUUCUUUUGAAGAGGCCCUCAGAUGCUGCAAUCUCUGACCUUAAGGAGGAACUGCUGCUUUCACUCUGUAACAAGACGGCGGUUAUUUU